GUCGUGGGCACCUCGCAAGAGGUGACCGGCGAACGGGUGCGUAACACGUGAGCGACCUACCGAUGCGCGGGGGAUAGCCGGCCCAACGGCCGGGUAAUACCGCAUACGCCAGUCGGGCCGCAUGGCCUGACUGGGAAACCUCCGGGGCGGAUCGAGGGGCUCGCGGCCUAUCAGCUAGUUGGCGGGGUAACGGCCCACCAAGGCGACGACGGGUAGCUGGUCUGAGAGGAUGGCCAGCCACAUUGGGACUGAGAAACGGCCCAGACUCCUACGGGAGGCAGCAGUGGGGAAUAUUGCGCAAUGGCCGCAAGGCUGACGCAGCGACGCCGCGUGUGGGAUGACGCCCUUCGGGGUGUAAACCACUGUUGCCCGGGACGAACGAGGAGAUUCAUCUCCUGUGACGGUACCGGGUGAGGAAGCACCGGCUAACUCCGUGCCAGCAGCCGCGGUAAUACGGAGGGUGCGAGCGUUGUCCGGAAUCACUGGGCGUAAAGGGCGCGUAGGCGGCUUGGUAAGGGGGCGGUGAAAGCCCGGGGCUCAACCCCGGGUCUGCCGGACCGACUGCCGAGCUCGAGCACACUAGGGGCAGGUGGAAUUCCGGGUGUAGCGGUGGAAUGCGUAGAGAUCCGGAAGAACACCGGUGGCGAAGGCGGCCUGCCGGGGUGUGGCUGACGCUGAGGCGCGACAGCGUG
RNAcentral lists this ribosomal RNA (692 nucleotides) under uncultured Gemmatimonadota bacterium. Its description in RNAcentral is "bacterial SSU rRNA". It matches the Rfam family "Bacterial small subunit ribosomal RNA", at positions 61 to 763 of the family's 1533-position model. Lineage: Bacteria; Pseudomonadati; Gemmatimonadota. The record is from RNAcentral.